This 406-nucleotide ribosomal RNA is filed under the name uncultured Streptococcus sp. Its description in RNAcentral is "bacterial SSU rRNA". It matches the Rfam family "Bacterial small subunit ribosomal RNA", at positions 974 to 1382 of the family's 1533-position model. The record is from RNAcentral. Lineage: Bacteria; Bacillati; Bacillota; Bacilli; Lactobacillales; Streptococcaceae.
CCAGGUCUUGACAUCCCGAUGCUAUUUCUAGAGAUAGAAAGUUACUUCGGUACAUCGGUGACAGGUGGUGCAUGGUUGUCGUCAGCUCGUGUCGUGAGAUGUUGGGUUAAGUCCCGCAACGAGCGCAACCCCUAUUGUUAGUUGCCAUCAUUCAGUUGGGCACUCUAGCGAGACUGCCGGUAAUAAACCGGAGGAAGGUGGGAUGACGUCAAAUCAUCAUGCCCCUUAUGACCUGGGCUACACACGUGCUACAAUGGUUGGUACAACGAGUUGCGAGUCGGUGACGGCGAGCUAAUCUCUUAAAGCCAAUCUCAGUUCGGAUUGUAGGCUGCAACUCGCCUACAUGAAGUCGGAAUCGCUAGUAAUCGCGGAUCAGCACGCCGCGGUGAAUACGUUCCCGGGCCUU